This is a long non-coding RNA of Vigna unguiculata (cowpea), 1547 nucleotides long. NCBI's taxonomy places the organism in Eukaryota, Viridiplantae, Streptophyta, Magnoliopsida, Fabales, Fabaceae. The record is from RefSeq and is a predicted model, not a curated record.
CAAACUCAAACCUACCCACUUUCUCUCACAUAACAGCACCAAGAGAGAGGACUAUAUAGUGUUAAACCCUCAACACACCCAACAAUUCAGAAGAAGAAGAAGGGUUUGGUUAUUCCACUGCAACUGGAGGAGGCAUCCAAAGGGAUCGCAUUGAUCCAAAAUCCAACCUUUCAUAUUCUCUCUUUCCCACUCACAAUAUUUGGGAUCAUGCUAUCCUUUUGGAUUUCUCCUUCAGUGGCUUCUAUAACCCCAUGCUUUUUCCUGCACCACAACUUAUCAUCCAUUCUCUGCCUCAAACACAAUCGCACAAUUCAUUUCAUUUCUGUCUUUGAUUGCCUUAAUUGUUUCACGUUUCUAAGCUUUCUUGAAUCUGUAUUCCUUUUCUGAAAAGAGCCACCGGAUCGAUCCGACCCUCCAGGUAAUUAGUUUUGCAAGUUUUUUCUGUCAUCUUCCUUUUUUUUUUUUCAUACAGUAGUUGCUUUAUGUUUUCGCGAUGUAUUGUUUUCCAUGAAUGUUAGUUAUGUGUCAGUUUAUGUGUGAAAGUGUCAUAUACACAUACUAAGUACAUGAAUAUAUCUCAGAGUGAGGUCACUCUCUGAAGCCAGACAUAUAUUAUACGCUUAAAAGUUAAAAUUACAACCUAACUUAGCUUUUAUAGGUGAAGUACACAUGGGGAGACCCUUUUGCAGUUUUUGUGUUAAGAUUAAGAACCAUUGGGAUGUUUCUUUUCUAUGAUGCACCACUCUUCAUAGUUUCUUGCCUCAUCUUAAUCAAUCAGCAUCCUUUAAGGGCUUAUGUUAUUGUUAGAAUAAGAGAAAGAAAAAUCUAAUUUAUGUUAUCUGCAAGUGCUACAGAUGCGCAUAUUCUGGCUUUAAGAAGUAGAGGGUGGCACUGUUAGAAAAAUAGAAAUCAUGAUUAAGUACAAUAAGAAAGUGGGAGCAAGCUAUUUAGCAAUCAGUACUACGAAUAAAACAGUACCAAAUGAUUGAUGGGAAGGAAAUGAUUCUAUGUAUUUUGGCUUGGUAAAAAUCAUAUCUACCCCAUUUUGGAAGCUUUUGAUGAUUACAUGUAUCCAACAGAUUGAUUUUACCUUUUGAUAAAGUGGCUUUUUUUGGUUUCCAACGAAAUCAAAUCUUUUCUGUAUAUAUUACACCUAACUUGAUGAGGUUUUCUGGUCACAGUUAGUUGUGUUUGUGUUGAGAUGAAAAUGUUGGAAUAGUUUCCAUGGCCACGCAGUAGCAUAGUGGUGGCCCUCACCUGCGUCAAUUAUACUCCAAAAACUCUUGCUUUUAUGGACUUUAAAUUAGAAUCCAAGGCAUUAGAAGUCAAUUACACUUGUAACUUUGGGCCUCACAACUCGUGUUCAAAGUUCAAACCGUCACUGAUACAUGUGCUGAGACAAGUUAAGAAUUAAAAGUGAAGAAAAAGUCUUGCAAACGUUGUUUAUUUUUUAAAUAAAAGGAUCAUUUUUUUUUCCUUUUUCCUAUUCUUGGCACAUGUACCCAACAUUCUAGCAUAAACCCACCUAUUCUUCAUUAUCCCUUUAA